CCUGGUGGUUAUCGCGGGGCGGCUGCACCCGUUCCCAUUCCGAACACGGCCGUGAAACGCCCCAGCGCCAAUGGUACUUCGUCUCAAGACGCGGGAG
RNAcentral lists this ribosomal RNA (97 nucleotides) under Agrobacterium tumefaciens. Lineage: Bacteria; Pseudomonadati; Pseudomonadota; Alphaproteobacteria; Hyphomicrobiales; Rhizobiaceae. The record is from RNAcentral.